UACGUAGGGUGCAAGCGUUAAUCGGAAUUACUGGGCGUAAAGCGUGCGCAGGCGGUUCGCUAAGACAGAUGUGAAAUCCCCGGGCUUAACCUGGGAACUGCAUUUGUGACUGGCGGGCUAGAGUAUGGCAGAGGGGGGUAGAAUUCCACGUGUAGCAGUGAGAUGCGUAGAGAUGUGGAGGAACACCGGGUGGCGAAGGCGGCGAUCUGGGAAGAUACUGACGCUGGAGGUGACGAAAGCGUGGGGAGCAAACAGG
This 256-nucleotide ribosomal RNA is filed under the name uncultured bacterium. Its description in RNAcentral is "partial 16S ribosomal RNA". It matches the Rfam family "Bacterial small subunit ribosomal RNA", at positions 524 to 776 of the family's 1533-position model. The record is from RNAcentral.